CGGACGGGUGAGUAAUGUCUGGGAAACUGCCUGAUGGAGGGGGAUAACUACUGGAAACGGUAGCUAAUACCGCAUAACGUCGCAAGACCAAAGAGGGGGACCUUCGGGCUUCUUGCCAUCGGAUGUGCCCAGAUGGGAUUAGCUAGUAGGUGGGGUAACGGCUCACCUAGGCGACGAUCCCUAGCUGGUCUGAGAGGAUGACCAGCCACACUGGAACUGAGACACGGUCCAG
RNAcentral lists this ribosomal RNA (232 nucleotides) under uncultured bacterium. RNAcentral's name for it is "partial 16S ribosomal RNA". It matches the Rfam family "Bacterial small subunit ribosomal RNA", at positions 99 to 334 of the family's 1533-position model. The record is from RNAcentral.